This 253-nucleotide ribosomal RNA is filed under the name uncultured bacterium. Its description in RNAcentral is "partial 16S ribosomal RNA". It matches the Rfam family "Bacterial small subunit ribosomal RNA", at positions 524 to 776 of the family's 1533-position model. The record is from RNAcentral.
UACGAAGGGGGCUAGCGUUGUUCGGAAUUACUGGGCGUAAAGCGCACGUAGGCGGAUUGUUAAGUCAGGGGUGAAAUCCUGGAGCUCAACUCCAGAACUGCCUUUGAUACUGGAGAGCUUGAGUCCGGAAGAGGUGAGUGGAACUCCGAGUGUAGAGGUGAAAUUCGUAGAUAUUCGGAAGAACACCAGUGGCGAAGGCGGCUCACUGGUCCGGUACUGACGCUGAGGUGCGAAAGCGUGGGGAGCAAACAGG